Long non-coding RNA from Entelurus aequoreus (snake pipefish), 795 nucleotides. RefSeq lists it as uncharacterized. The record is from RefSeq and is a predicted model, not a curated record. The transcript has 2 exons. Lineage: Eukaryota; Metazoa; Chordata; Actinopteri; Syngnathiformes; Syngnathidae.
AAAUGGUAACACCCCAAUAAGUUUUUCAACUUGUUUAAGUUGGGGUCCACGUUAAUCAACUCAUGGUAAAUCUGUGCUGAUAUCGUAUCGAAUCGAUGGAUAUCGGCCAAUACUCAAUAUGGGACGGCCCUAAACAGGAUUGAACCAACAUGAUGUGUUUGAUUUCAGGUUUUUGAAAUAACAAAUGAGUUGUUUUCAUUGAGGUUCAUGAAAGACAACGAUAUCAUCUGUAACAACUGUGGCCGAUACUUGGUUCUCGUCAAUCCUAAUUAUAAGCAAUUAAAAACACCUGUGGUAUUUUAGGCUUCAUCAUGAAGUUGCCGGUGUUUGGUGCGCCGCCUGACACCAUCUGCUACGAGGACAGCGUCUACUGGGAAGUGCCCGGGGACGAGGAGGGUCACGACGACCAGCUGACCACGGUGGUCUCUGCUGAGUGCGAGAAACUCAACGGUUAGACGGACACGCGCGCAUGCGCACGCACCUGGAUACGUCUUGGCGUAGGUUGCGCAGGUACAUCUGCAUGCCCCCCCCCCCCCCCCAAAAAAGGACACUAGUACAGGUUUCCACCACUAGAGGGCGACGUGCUGCCGGCUUGCCGAGCGGUCGUGACUGUUUGAUGACGUCAGCUGGCUGCCAGCCCCACACCAAAGACUCUUCGAGAAGUUAAAGUUACACACUAACAUCUCUAAAAAACCUUUUAAAGGUCCUACUGUUUUAUUUUGUAUUAUCACUUACUGUAGGUCAGGGGUUUUCUCUUUUUAUCAGUCCUAUUAAAAUGUAUGACUUGUCAUUUAA